This 497-nucleotide ribosomal RNA is filed under the name uncultured bacterium. RNAcentral describes it as "partial 16S ribosomal RNA". It matches the Rfam family "Bacterial small subunit ribosomal RNA", at positions 28 to 507 of the family's 1533-position model. The record is from RNAcentral.
GAUGAACGCUGGCGGCGUGCCUAAUACAUGCAAGUCGAGCGAACAGACGAGGAGCUUGCUCCUCUGACGUUAGCGGCGGACGGGUGAGUAACACGUGGAUAACCUACCUAUAAGACUGGGAUAACUUCGGGAAACCGGAGCUAAUACCGGAUAAUAUAUUGAACCGCAUGGUUCAAUAGUGAAAGACGGUUUUGCUGUCACUUAUAGAUGGAUCCGCGCCGCAUUAGCUAGUUGGUAAGGUAACGGCUUACCAAGGCAACGAUGCGUAGCCGACCUGAGAGGGUGAUCGGCCACACUGGAACUGAGACACGGUCCAGACUCCUACGGGAGGCAGCAGUAGGGAAUCUUCCGCAAUGGGCGAAAGCCUGACGGAGCAACGCCGCGUGAAUGAUGAAGGUCUUCGGAUCGUAAAACUCUGUUAUUAGGGAAGAACAAAUGUGUAAGUAACUUUGCACGUCUUGACGGUACCUAAUCAGAAAGCCACGGCUAACUACGUG